AGCGAACGCUGGCGGCAGGCCUAACACAUGCAAGUCGAACGAACUCUUCGGAGUUAGUGGCGGACGGGUGAGUAACACGUGGGAACGUUCCUUUAGGUUCGGAAUAACUCAGGGAAACUUGUGCUAAUACCGAAUGUGCCCUUCGGGGGAAAGAUUUAUCGCCUUUAGAGCGGCCCGCGUCUGAUUAGCUAGUUGGUGAGGUAAAGGCUCACCAAGGCGACGAUCAGUAGCUGGUCUGAGAGGAUGAUCAGCCACAUUGGGACUGAGACACGGACCAAACUCCUACGCGAGGCAGCAGUGGGGAAUCGUGCGCAAUGGGAGAAAGCCUGACGCAGCCAUGCCGCGUGAAUGAUGAAGGUCUUAGGAUUGUAAAAUUAUUUCACCGGCGACGAUAAUGACGGUACCCGGAGAAGAAGCCACGGCUAACUCCGUG
This 433-nucleotide ribosomal RNA is filed under the name uncultured bacterium. RNAcentral describes it as "partial 16S ribosomal RNA". It matches the Rfam family "Bacterial small subunit ribosomal RNA", at positions 29 to 507 of the family's 1533-position model. The record is from RNAcentral.